Molecule: long non-coding RNA, 1680 nt
Organism: Syngnathoides biaculeatus (alligator pipefish)
Lineage: Eukaryota; Metazoa; Chordata; Actinopteri; Syngnathiformes; Syngnathidae
Exons: 3
Source: RefSeq, a predicted model, not a curated record
AGUGGAGUUGCCGUAGUCGACGUGCGCAGGUGCAGAAGGGUCUGACGAUCAGCAACUAGGAGCAACCAAUUGUGCAAAAAAUUGCUCAAAGGGAAAAAGGUGGAGGAAAAGCCAUCAGCAAAUCCAGGCAGCACCAGAACUCGCAUUAAUGCAGUAAGGCGUGGCUAUUGGGAUGCAGCGGCCAAUCAUAGUGCAGUGGGCGUUUCCUGCCAUGAGAUUGAUCGUAACAUGACCACGUAAAGGUUUGAGGAGGCCUAUCAGUGACAUAGUUGCACCAAACGUGCCGAUGACGCAACUAUGUAAUUGUUUACAUUUUUCAUGAAAACAUAACAAAACUGUAAAAUGAAUUCCCUGCGAUUGGCUGGUAACCACCCAGGGUUUACCCCGACUGCUGCCCAGUGAUAGGUCGGAUCGGCUCCAGGACUCUCGUGAGCCUUGUGAGGAUAAGCGGCUGGAUGGAGCAAGUAAACUGACAAUUUCUCAAAAAUGUGAUUGUCCUCUGAAUCUGGAACGAACCAUCUACAUUUAGCGUACAAGGCGAGAGCGUUUAUUGUAACAGUGUGAGAUCUUUACUCUCACGGAAACAUUCAAAACAAAGAAGUCAAGAAUUUAAUGCGCAUACACCCCCACACAACAUCCUGUCGUAUCAUGCCACCUCCAUAGGAGGGUGACAACAAUUGCAGAGCCAUAUUAAAAUUCUAUUUAUGUGACACGGUGAACAUAUGAAAUUAAUGGACAACCCCCACAGCCUCCAAUUUUCCAAGUACAGAAGAAUUACUUUGUAGGUAUGAAUGUCAGGAAAUGAUGGGCAUGAGUUUUAAAGUCAACUGUAUAGUAUGCCUCAUUUAAAAAAAAAAAAAAAAAAAACACGCAAAAUUUGCAAAAAUGAAGAAAAACAACUUAAUCGGGUCAAAUGAUGUUGCGUGUACUUGCUGUUAAACGGAUCCAUCGCGCAGCAUUGUGGAUAUUACCUGCUCGAUCUUGUGCUGUCUACUUUGUGCUUGUACUUGUGCUUUUGUUGAUACUUUGUCUUAAACUUGUAUCUGGCGCAAUGGUACCUCAAGUCUUGAAUACGCAUUGCAUCCCUCAAUCUCAUGGGUGGGUGGAAGGAGGAUUAGAAGGAACGUCUGCAUUUUUAAUGGAAUGUUCAUGUUUUGUUGCUGUUUUUUCAGUUUUUUUUUUUUUUUUUUUUUUUGUCAAUCAUAUUUCGGUUUAAGAGCUCACCUGAUUAUAAGCCUCACCCAGUACAUUUUGUAAAGGAAAUAAAAUUUGAAAAAAUGCACAAAUUAACCACAUCACCGCAUAAACCACAGGGUUGAAAGCAUGUAAAAAAAAAAAAAAAAAUCGCGAUUUAUAGGCCUUAAAUUACUGUACAUAUGAUAUACUGUACCUGCCUGUUUGGAGUAUGAGUGACUCGUUUUUUAAGAACCAUCAUUCUUUUUUUUUUUUUUUGCUUUGACUUGUGAGCAAAAAUUUGUGAUACAUAAAAUGUACCUUUGCACAGAAUUCUUGGUUUGAAAUGAUUGAAAAUUAUACUUUAGAUUCACAAAUGUAUUGAAAAGAAUGCAUCCCCAUUAAUUACUAAAAAUAUAGUUACUGGUGAUGUGGUUUCUUAUUUACUUGGUAUUGGAUUGAUAACCGGAUCUUAUUAGUAUCGCACCCCACUAGUGGACAACACCA